AUUAGUUUUGUGCGUUAUUCAAGUAUUAAAAUGUAGUAGAAUGCGGAUUGUGGAGGUUUCUUGUAUUGAGAGUAGGUAGCACUACACACCUUUCGAAAAGUUUCCAGUUCAUUCGAGUUUACAACUCGCAACAUAUUAAUAUAAGCCGCAACGAAUAACUUCGUCGCAUAGUUUGGCCCUAAAAUGUCCAAAAGUCCAACAGUGAAACAAAAUGUGAACAAAAAUGAGCUGCUGAAAGAAAGAAAAUCCCACGAUCAGAUUUAUCCGGCAGCCCAUCUGGGUCAUAAAUGUCCUAAAGGAAAAAUGCAAGAUAACGAGCCGACCAUCACUCUUUGGGCGGCGAACGGCGUUUUCUUUUGAAUUUUUUGGGUGUAUUCUUCGGCGGCAUUGCUAUUUAUGAAUGGAAAGUGAGUCACGAACAGGAAAGUAAUAUUUGGAACCACUCUGUCUGGUUAACAGGUAGGCAUAUGCUCAUCUUCAGCCGAAGAGAAAUUUGCUAAUGCGCGCGUGCCGAAAGUGGACUUAUCUGAUUUUGUCUUACAACAAUAAUACAAUCGCUAUUCAGUUGGUUUGCUUCGAGCAUGUUGACUGCCAAAGACUGAUUUUAAUUCCUGUCCACAUUUCCUGGUUAAUCGAUUUUAGGUAUAUUAACACGCACCAGAGAAACAUUUCCCAAAACUGUUUCACUGGGGGCAUUCGAAAUGAAGCAACAAUAAUUUAUCAUUGCGCUUCUGUUAUAUUGUUCUAAAUAAAUUAAUACUUGCGCAAGAUCUCCUUAUACUGGCUGGGCAGGUGAAACAACAUGAACAAUAGAUUUCGUCAAACCAGCGACUGGUGGCUGAUUAAAAUUAAUAAUCAAAAUUUGCUGUGAAUUGCGACGAAAAGAAAAUGCAAUCUGGCCUUAUACGACGCUCGUCUCACUGGCUUUAUUAGCACCACUUUGACCACUUUCUAACAAGAUUACAGACACCAUCGACAAGGCCUGCGGCAGCAGCACUCGAACGAAACCAGAAGGCCUUUUUGGAAUGCAGUUUGUGUUGGCUGCGUCGACACGCCGCAAAAACUAUUUGGUUUCACAUCUUUGUACCAAAGAGUAUUAGAAAUGAAAAUUAUAAACGCUCGCCUCUAAGCUGCUUCUUCAGCUUCUAGUCGCCUCAACAUCUAAUGUAGGUAUUUCUAAUACAAAGAACCACUCACCUGAUUC
Dendroctonus ponderosae (mountain pine beetle) is the source of this 1204-nucleotide long non-coding RNA. RefSeq lists it as uncharacterized. Lineage: Eukaryota; Metazoa; Arthropoda; Insecta; Coleoptera; Curculionidae. The record is from RefSeq and is a predicted model, not a curated record. The transcript has 3 exons.